GCAAGUCGAGCGGUAACAGAGAGUAGCUUGCUACUUUGCUGACGAGCGGCGGACGGGUGAGUAAUGCUUGGGGACAUGCCUUGAGGUGGGGGACAACAGUUGGAAACGACUGCUAAUACCGCAUAAUGUCUACGGACCAAAGGGGGCUUCGGCUCCCGCCUUUAGAGAAGCCCAAGUGGGAUUAGGUAGUUGGUGAGGUAAAGGCUCACCAAGGCGACGAUCCCUAGCUGGUUUGAGAGGAUGAUC
Molecule: ribosomal RNA, 246 nt
Filed under: uncultured bacterium
Lineage: Bacteria
Description: partial 16S ribosomal RNA
Rfam family: Bacterial small subunit ribosomal RNA
Source: RNAcentral